RNAcentral lists this ribosomal RNA (1343 nucleotides) under uncultured prokaryote. Its description in RNAcentral is "partial 16S ribosomal RNA". It matches the Rfam family "Archaeal small subunit ribosomal RNA". The record is from RNAcentral.
UCGGUUGAUCCUGCCGGACCUGACUGCUAUCGGAUUGAUACUAAGCCAUGCGAGUCAUUGCAGCAAUGCAAGGCAGACGGCUCAGUAACGCGUAGUCAACCUAACCUAUGGACGGGAAUAACCUCGGGAAACUGAGAAUAAUGCCCGAUAGAACACUAUACCUGGAAUGGUUUGUGUUCCAAAUGAUUUAUCGCCGUAGGAUGGGACUGCGGCCUAUCAGUUUGUUGGUGAGGUAAUGGCCCACCAAGACUAUUACAGGUACGGGCUCUGAGAGGAGUAGCCCGGAGAUGGGUACUGAGACACGGACCCAGGCCCUAUGGGGCGCAGCAGGCGAGAAAACUUUGCAAUGUGCGAAAGCACGACAAGGUUAAUCCGAGUGGUUUCUGCUAAAGGAACCUUUUGUUAGUCAUAGAACCACUAAUGAAUAAGGGGUGGGCAAGUUCUGGUGUCACCGCCGCGGUAAUACCGGCGCCUCAAGUGGUAGUCGCUUUUAUUGGGCCUAAAACGUCCGUAGCCGGUCUGAUACAUUCGUGGGUAAAUCAACUAGCUCAACUAGUUGAAUUCUGCGAGCACGGCCAGACUUGGGACCGGGUGAGGUGUGGGGUACUCUCAGGGUAGGGGUAAAAUCCUGUCAUCCUGAGAGGACCACCUGUUGCGAAGGCGCCACACUAGAACGGAUCCGACGGUCAGGGACGAAGCCUAGGGGCACGAACCGGAUUAGAUACCCGGGUAGUCCUAGGUGUAAACGCUGUGGACUUGAUGUUGGGAGUGCUCCGAGCACCCUCAGUGUCGAAGCGAAGGUGAUAAGUCCACUGCCUGGGGAGUACGGUCGCAAGGCUGAAACUUAAAGGAAUUGGCGGGGGAGCACUGCAACCUGAGGAUUGUGCGGUUUAAUUGGAUUCAACGCCGGAAAACUCACCAUAGCCGACGGACAAAUGAAAGCCAGCGUAACGAGCUUGCUGGAUUGUUCGAGAGGUAGUGCAUGGCCGCCGUCAGUUCGUACCGCAAGGCGUUCUGUUAAGUCAGAUAACGAACGAGACCCUCAUCCCUAUUUGCUAAGGUCAGUCCGCUGAUCACAGGACUAUAGAGAGACCGCUGGCGCUAAGUCAGAGGAAGGGGAGGGCAACGGUAGGUCAGUAUGCUCCGAAUGCUAUGGGCUACACGCGCAAUACAAAGGACGGGACAAUGGGCUGCUGCUCCGAAAGGAACGAUAGCUAUCCCGAAACCCGUUCGUAGUUCGGAUUGAGGGCUGUAACUCGCCCUCAUGAAGCUGGAUUAGGUAGUAAUCGCGUCUCAAAAAGGCGCGGUGAAUAUGCCCCUGCUCCUUGCACACACCGCCCGUC